AUUGAACGCUGGCGGAAUGCUUUACACAUGCAAGUCGAGCGGCAGCGCGGGGGCAACCCUGGCGGCGAGCGGCGAACGGGUGAGUAACAUAUCGGAACGUACCCAGUCGUGGGGGAUAACUAUCCGAAAGGAUAGCUAAUACCGCAUACGUCCUGAGGGAGAAAGCGGGGGAUCGCAAGGACCUCGCGCGAUUGGAGCGGCCGAUAUCGGAUUAGCUAGUUGGUGGGGUAAAGGCUCACCAAGGCGACGAUCCGUAGCGGGUCUGAGAGGACGACCCGCCACACUGGAACUGAGACACGGUCCAGACUCCUACGGGAGGCAGCAGUGGGGAAUUUUGGACAAUGGGGGCAACCCGUGAUCCAGCCAUUCCGCGUGAGUGAAGAAGGCCUC
RNAcentral lists this ribosomal RNA (390 nucleotides) under uncultured bacterium. Its description in RNAcentral is "bacterial SSU rRNA". It matches the Rfam family "Bacterial small subunit ribosomal RNA", at positions 29 to 418 of the family's 1533-position model. The record is from RNAcentral.